RNAcentral lists this unclassified non-coding RNA (296 nucleotides) under Hevea brasiliensis (rubber tree). Lineage: Eukaryota; Viridiplantae; Streptophyta; Magnoliopsida; Malpighiales; Euphorbiaceae. The record is from RNAcentral.
UUUCCUUUACACCCUCCUUUUCUCCAUUUUCUCUCUGUCUUCAACAGUCGACAGCUCCUCUCUCUCUUUCUCAAAUUUUUUCCCUCUCUAUAUCUCUCCCUUUCUCUCUCUACAUCUUCACAUCUCAGAUCUGAUCAGACAUCACUUGAGUGAUUGGGGGUUAAGAAUACAAUAUCCAAAUGAAGAAAGCAUUUGAUCAAACCGUGCGGGACCUCAAAAGAGGAGUGAAUAAAAAGGUUCUUAAAGUCCCUUCAAUAGAACAAAAAGUUCUAGAUGCAACUAGCAAUGAGCCCUGG